RNAcentral lists this ribosomal RNA (497 nucleotides) under uncultured bacterium. Its description in RNAcentral is "partial 16S ribosomal RNA". It matches the Rfam family "Bacterial small subunit ribosomal RNA", at positions 29 to 523 of the family's 1533-position model. The record is from RNAcentral.
UUGAACGCUGGCGGCAGGCCUAACACAUGCAAGUCGAGCGGCAGCGCGGGGCAACCUGGCGGCGAGCGGCGGACGGGUGAGUAACGCGUAGGAAUCUACCCAGUAGCGGGGGAUAGCCCGGGGAAACUCGGAUUAAUACCGCAUACGCCCUACGGGGGAAAGCAGGGGAUCUUCGGACCUUGCACUAUUGGCAGAGCCUGCGUUGGAUUAGCUAGUUGGUAGGGUAAAGGCCUACCAAGGCAACGAUCCAUAACUGGUCUGAGAGGAUGGUCAGUCACACCGGAACUGAGACACGGUCCGGACUCCUACGGGAGGCAGCAGUGGGGAAUAUUGGACAAUGGGGGCAACCCUGAUCCAGCCAUGCCGCGUGUGUGAAGAAGGCCUUCGGGUUGUAAAGCACUUUAAGUGGGGAGAAAGGUUCGGCAGUUAAUACCUGCCGGAAGUGAUGUUACCCACAGAAUAAGCACCGGCUAACUCUGUGCCAGCAGCCGCCGUAA